Molecule: ribosomal RNA, 460 nt
Filed under: Klebsiella sp. P2(2008)
Lineage: Bacteria; Pseudomonadati; Pseudomonadota; Gammaproteobacteria; Enterobacterales; Enterobacteriaceae
Description: bacterial SSU rRNA
Rfam family: Bacterial small subunit ribosomal RNA
Source: RNAcentral
CGCACGCAGGCGGUCUGUCAAGUCGGAUGUGAAAUCCCCGGGCUCAACCUGGGAACUGCAUUCGAAACUGGCAGGCUAGAGUCUUGUAGAGGGGGGUAGAAUUCCAGGUGUAGCGGUGAAAUGCGUAGAGAUCUGGAGGAAUACCGGUGGCGAAGGCGGCCCCCUGGACAAAGACUGACGCUCAGGUGCGAAAGCGUGGGGAGCAAACAGGAUUAGAUACCCUGGUAGUCCACGCUGUAAACGAUGUCGAUUUGGAGGUUGUGCCCUUGAGGCGUGGCUUCCGGAGCUAACGCGUUAAAUCGACCGCCUGGGGAGUACGGCCGCAAGGUUAAAACUCAAAUGAAUUGACGGGGGCCCGCACAAGCGGUGGAGCAUGUGGUUUAAUUCGAUGCAACGCGAAGAACCUUACCUGGUCUUGACAUCCACAGAACUUUCCAGAGAUGGAUUGGUGCCUUCGGGA